This 301-nucleotide long non-coding RNA is filed under the name Hordeum vulgare. Its description in RNAcentral is "long non-coding RNA (HVUL_LNC011781)". The record is from RNAcentral. Lineage: Eukaryota; Viridiplantae; Streptophyta; Magnoliopsida; Poales; Poaceae.
GUUCCCAAUGUCACGAACCCGCAAGUUGAUCACCAAAACAUACAUCGAGUACUCACAUGAAUCCACGUGUGCCAACCCAUAUGCAUAGGUUCCCAAUUGUCACAAACCCGCAAGUUGAUCACAGCAGAUAGACUCGUGCAAGACAUAAAUCAAGUGUUCUCAAAGACUCAAUCCGAUAUGAUAACUUAAGGGGAAACUCAAUUCAUUACAAGAAGGGAGAGGGGGAAGAACAUCAUAAGAUCCAACUAUAGUAGCAAAGCCCAUGGUACAUCGAGAUCAAGACAUCUCAAGAACACGAGAG